Molecule: long non-coding RNA, 1891 nt
Organism: Anser brachyrhynchus (Pink-footed goose)
Lineage: Eukaryota; Metazoa; Chordata; Aves; Anseriformes; Anatidae
Source: Ensembl
AAUGGCCUGGGUUGUUCUGAGGACGCGGACAACAGCACUGACGGUGUGGUGCCUGCUGUGGUUGUGUAUCAGUAUGGAAAAGCCAAAGCUGCUGGUAAUUUAAGGGGUGGGUUUUUUUCCCUUUCUACCUGACAGCUAUGUCUGUAAAUUCACACUCCUGCAUUUUAAAAGCCUGCGAUGCUAAUUGUAGCCCAAGAAAUCCCAUCAGGUAAAGGAAACCAUCUUAGGUUUUAUAUACUUAUUGAACGAGAGGCCUGUGACCACAAAGCAAAGCCCUGGGCAUCAAAGCGACAGGUCCCAGCUGCUCCGAUCCCCAGCCUGCCAUACUCAGGAGCUUGGUGCCCAGUGCCGGGUUGGCCCUGACACAUCUCCUGGGCAUCCCCUGCCCCGGGCAGGAGUGUGGGGCCAUUUGCUGUGUUAGUGAAAACCACCCACCCAGAGCCUGGAUUUCUGGGAUUAUAGAAGUUAUAGCUACUCGUAGUUGCUCCUGACUUGUAAAAUCCCCAGUUUGGGAUGUGCUCAUGUGCCAGCUUUGGAAGAUUGGUAGCCCAUGGCAUGGGGUCCUGGGGAAACCGGAUCGGCAGUUUUAGGGCUUUUGCUCUUUUUCCCUUAAGCUUCCUGUCAGCUUUUUACAGCAGCAGUUUGCUCUCAAACAGCCCAAGUGCCGGCUUUUUGCACUUCUCCCUCAGAGGGUGAAUGCCGUGCUGUGGGGUUUUCCUUCCCAACACAAACCCCGUGGAGGGGGCACCUGGGGGGCUUUCACUGAUGUUGGCUUCCUCAGGAGACACUGCUUCAACAAACCUGAGGCUCUAAACAAGCUUUUUGGGGUUGAGGGCCUUGCUUUGGGCAGCAAGGCCUGGUUUGUUGAUGGCUUCCUAAGCUGAGGUCUGAGCUGGGUUGGAGGCCUCAGACCCUGUUCCUCAGGAACAGGAAUAGGAUGGUUAGAAAUGGAGGGGCUAAGGAAAUGGAGGGGUUAGGCAUUGACGGUUAGCAGUGAGACCAAGCUGGGUUAAAACACUCACCUCCAUAUCUGCAGUGGCUGUCCAAACACCAUGGAGUGGCCCACGGCUGGCAGAGCCUGUUGUGGCCUUCCCAGCUCAGGUGCCCCGGUCACAGGGGAAUUUUCCAGGUGUCACCGAAGCUUCGCCCGGACGCGGGUGGUUGCUGCUGCUGAGGGCCCUCCUACGCAGGAUAGAUGUGUAUGGCCAUGUAGAGAGUUAUGGCUUCUUUAAAGAUGCGGAUACACACCAGCCUUUGGUCUGGGUAAGUCAAGGGGAGAACAGAGUGCACUUGAGUUGCUUUUGCUGUGAAUUUAUAGAAAGCUUUGACCUUAAAGGGAAUAGCAUAGCUUUGCUCUGUCUGUUUGUACUCUGUGUUGCUCAGUGAUGUUGCCUAGCUCUCAGCAUGCUAUUUCAUUUAUACAUGAAUUUCUAAUAAUCCUGCCUCUGCACUUCAGUCUCUUCCCCAUCUUUCUCUUUUCUCCAGCCUCCACGUUCUUGGCAGUGGGUCAGGCUGUGCAAGCACUGAUAGACAAAACAACCCCAUGUUCUUGCUGUCUUUAAACAUGGGGGGGCAAUUUUUCUUGGAGGAAGGGCUUUGCCACUCUGAUCUAAGUAGCAUUUAAAUUUUGCACCCUAGAAAUCCCUCUCUGAGAACAGGGCCAGGAAAAACUUUCCCUAACUAAGCCCAACAGCAAGCAGUCAUUUAAAUGCAUCUUUUCACUGCUUCCCCUGCCCUCACCUGAUGUAUGCAGUAGUUUGGCCCAGCCUGGGUGACCUGUGUGAUGGGUGCUUUCCUCCACACGUUUGCUGUGGUUAUCAUCAGAAAUUCAGUGUGCCGUUAUUGUGGGAAACCAAAUAAAUACUGGGAUUACCCAUAAAUAUGUGUAGGA